Molecule: long non-coding RNA, 7369 nt
Organism: Equus caballus (horse)
Lineage: Eukaryota; Metazoa; Chordata; Mammalia; Perissodactyla; Equidae
Source: RefSeq, a predicted model, not a curated record
CAAAGCACAUAUGUAAUUAAGGACUGGUAUCCAAAAUAUACAAAAACUCUUAAAACUCAACAAUAAGGAAACAAACAACUCAACUGAAAAACAGGCACAAGAUCUGGACAGCUCACCAAAGAAGAUAUCCAGAUGGCAGAUAAGCACGUGAAAAGAUGCUCAACAUCAUAGUCAUCCCCUGAUGACUACAAAUUGUUAAUAAAAAGGGAAAGCGUGCGUGUGUACGUAUGUGGGGGAAAGGGGAUGACGAGGGAGGUGUAAGACAACUCUCUGUACUGUCCGCUCAGUUUUUUCCUAAACCUAAAACGGCUCUUAAGAAAAGGGUUUAUUAAUUUUUUUAAAAGACAAGCUUCUUCCUCCGUAAUAUAUAUAUAUGUAAGUCUUGUGAAAGGACUUCAAUCUGAAAUGGAACCAGAGGCUAUGAAAUGAAGAGCUUCUCACAUGCGCCCUCAGAAGACCCAACAAGAACAGAGAGACAGACUUCCCGUAACUCCCUGACUUACAGAAGGCGGGGCCUUAUCUCCUGGCCAAUGAACAUCCGCCAAGAAUGUCUCCCCGUCCUCAAGCCAACGAAGUCAUCGCUGGGAGUCUGGGUGGACUUCUCCCUCUUUGCACUUCUUGCCCAGAAAUACGACCUGCCUCAAACCCUUCAACAGACUCACCUGUAGCUUGCGAGGGCAUGCAUUUCCCAGACUGCAAUUUGCUGCCAUUCCUGAAUGAACUUAAUUUCUGGGAAUUUGUGCUUGCCUCAGUUUACCUCUUUCUUGAGGUUGACAGUAUUAAUUUUUAAAAUAUGCAUAUAGGUAAUACACAGUGUUGGCAAAGGAGCUAGGAAAGGGACUCCUCACCAUAGACUAGUGGUGAGGGUGUACACUGGAGACAUUUUUAUUAUUAUUAUGAAACAUCUUACUAAGAAACUAAACCCUGUGGUUUCAUGGUGCCUAAUUUUCAUGCAGCAUCUGCAUCACUUGGGAGCUUGCCAGAAAUGCAGAAGCUCAGGUCGCACCCCAUCCUACUAAUUUGGAAUCUGCAUUUUAACAAGAUCCAUCAAGUGAUCCACGUGCACGUUAGAGUUUCAAUAGCCCUGCCAUGAAGUGAGUCCAAAUGAAAAGGAUGAGAUUCAAGAGGAAAGGAAGACUCAGCAGAAAUAGUCAAUACGUUAACCAGAGAAAGAAGAGGAAUGAACUACAGUUGUGCCUCGGUGUCUGUGGGGGAUCGGAUCAGGACCCCAUGCGGGUACCAAAAUCCACGGAAGCUCGAGGCCCUCAGUCACCCACCACUGAUCCUCGGGGUGCCCAUGGCCAAGUGUAUAUAACUUCCUCAUUGAUGGGAGUAAGGUGGGGCCUGAAUGAGAAAAUGACAACAGCAGCCAAGUAGGUUUCUUGUCACCGGUUAUUAGGAGACCAUGAAACAUCAAGGCUUGUGCCAUGCUAUUCCCACAUGACUCAUACCCUGGGAGCAAUAGAUCAGAGCCCGGGAUGUCCUUUUUCUCUAGUUGCAUCCUGAGAAUUUGCGUGCUUGCUACUUUGUGUUAGACAAAUCUCUCUUACCUCUCCUGAAAUGAGGGUGGAAGGGGAUCUUGAAUUUCUGCCUGGGCCUUUGACACAGUUCAACUGCUAAAGAGAAACACUGAGAGCUGAGACAUCAGUGGAAAUAUUUAAUUAUUACAGUUACUGCCCAAGAUGGCACCUUGAGUUGUGGUAAAAAAAAAAAGGGGGUGGGGUGGGGAGCAGGUUCAAGGCUUUGCUGAAAAAUCUGCCUGAAGGAUGUCAAUUCUUAGAGUUUAGUAUCUUUCAUUCACUGAUUUAUAAAAAGAAUCUAAGUUACUUUUGAAGCAUGGCAGGAAAAGUAAGUUUUCCCUAAACAUUCUGGGAGAUUCACUGGCAAUAUAAGAUUGUGAGGGACCCUGAAAUUCUGUUAGACUAUUGUUUAAACUGUGAGGCUCCCCCUCUUCAAGGAAUGAUAGCUGUGUGUGGAAAUAGGCUGGGAUAAUUGGUAGUUUCCUUGUGCUCAUUUUGUAUUUGGUGAUCAGGAAAAAUUUUAAACGCGGUGUACUUUGAAAAGGCGCUUCAGAAAUCCAAAGGGAUAUCCACUUUGCCCAUUACAUGGGACAGAAUGAUUAAAAUUCCUACAUCACCAGUGGUCACAAUGGUGAGAUCUUGCCACCAGAGAUGGACAAAAUUGAAAAGAUGCCAGUAAUAAACUCAGGUAAUAAACAGAGAAAAUGAUACUGGCUGUGAAAACAGGCACAGGCUCCCAGUAAGCACUGUCAGACACUACUGAGUUUCCUGGCUAGGGCUUUAAACAGUAACUUCUUCAUGGGUUUCUCACCUAAUAUGCCUUAUCUAAAUUUAAAGAGAGAUGUGACCAUUCACAAGGCAAAUUCACAGAUAAAAUCUUUACAAAACAACUUUGAAAGAGAGGACCUGGAAGAAUAGAAAGCUGUGAUGUUUUGAGAGGAAGAUUAUUUGGGGAGAAGAUUUGGAGUUUCCAGCUUGGGAUGGGAAGAUGAGGGGAUGAGGGCACUGUCUCCUGACUGUUUUUCCUGGGCUUUCAAGAAGGAAACCACAGCGGGCAGGGAGCAUUCGGCUGGCCUCACCCCACACCAGGUUCUCUGGCUUCUCUUCUCCUCAGCAUGUGGAAGGGCAAAUUGGUUUAGUCCUUUUCCAUAACUCACCUCAAACUAACCCAGUAAUACUAGAGAAGGAAGAGCAAGGCUGCGAAGGGCCAAUUAACAGACACACAUUGAGAAGACGCCUACUGACUCACUAGGAAAUCCAAUUCUCACUGUGAUAUCCAACCAGACUUCUGGAAAACCUACCUUAUAUUGGUUACUAGGGUCAUGGGAUAAAGGCUGAGGGACAGUCACAUGGACUGGGCUGAACUGGGGAAGAGAGGGUCUCAUAGUGAAGACUCAUCUGUAUUUGACAGUCCCAGUGAUAGCUGGACUGUUUUGGUGUUUGAUGACAUUAUGGAGAUUACUAUGAGCCCAAUUAUGAGAUGGUGGAAAACAAGUGCAGUCACAGAGAAUCGUAAUAGAAGGAAUCAGGAAUGACCCAAAAGAGGCCAUUUGAACCAGCCCGAGGCAGGCUGCCCCAGUGUUUCCUUUUCACUAAAAUGCAAAACAACUGGCAUUCCUGUUUUCCCAAAGAUGUACAUCCUGCUCUUCCAGAUGCUGAGAGGCAGACUGUUGCAGGGCAUGGAUGGUGUUGGUGGUGAACCGUCAGAGGAGUGGCAGAUAAGAAGGCAUGUUCGUGAGCCAGUGUUUCCUUCUGUUCAUGUAAGAGUUGCUUGGUCAAACUCUCUGGUCAUUGCUCACUGGUGAUUUAAUGAAACUACAAAAGGAACGAUGUAGCACCUGUAGGACUGGAUCUCUCACGGUCCCCAGUGACAGCUGCUACCAGGGCAAAACUCUUGGCAAGCACUCAACUGGGUAACGUCCAUAGUUCAAAGUUCUGGGAAGUGAGCAAGAGAGGGCUCACCAGGUUAAGGAUGAAGCUGUUUUUGUGCCCAGAGAGUAAAUGGCUGUUUCAAAAGCUAUGCCUUCUGUUUCACCUAAUGUCUUUGAAUGUAGGGAGACUCUCCAUACAGACUAAGGGUGAGGCCCCGUAAAGGACACGUGACCCUGAUGUCCUUUCUCUCUAGACCCGUUACAACAUCAGAUUCCUCUGGAGAAACCAUAUGCCUGAGUCCAGAUGCGCUGGACAAGAGAAAUAGUCAAGAAUUUCAGGGGAUUUUAGAUACAGAUUCAAAGAUAAUGCAAAUUCCUGGAAACUCCAGUCAAAUGGGAAAGGCUAAGUGUCUGAGGAUAUGGAGGAGGAAGGAUUGGAGGUGGACAGGUUUUACUAGGCCUACAAGUUGGACACUGAGGACACAAUUAUCCUCUAGGGUGAUCUCAUCACUCCCUGAGUUGUUCUCUUUUUUUAAAACUUUUCAUUUUGAAAAAAUUUAGACUUACAGAAAUGUUGCAACAAUAGUACAGGGUUCCCUUUACCCUUCAUCUGGUUACCCCUAAUGGUAACACCUUAGAAAACCAUAGCACAAAUAUCAAAAUCAUGAAAUUAACAUUGAUAUAAUACUACUAACCAUGACAGUGUUGUUGAAAUUAAGUAAUUGUUACUUGGAGAAAGGACUUACUCAAAAGGGUGGUAUAUUGGCUGCUAAAAAUGGAAACAUGUAGAGCUCUCUUGCCUCACCAAAACUGUAAAGAUGAAAUAGUACCAGGCCCAGGACCACGAGUGAGACCACAGGUGAGAUGGGAGUAACUGGGAGUCUGUCCCCACUUCCAGCCUUUCCCUCUUAGCUCUCAGUUGGCUUAUCUGAAAAGCAGAUGGAGCCCGGAUGAUAACUGAAUAUUACAGAAAACCAGAUGAACUUGUGCUAACUGUGGCUGCCAUUGUUCCUCUGUAGGAAGAUCUUUAUAAAUCACCCCGACUGGUAUCCUUUUAUCGAUCUUACUAGGGCAUUGUUUUUUUUCCCCAGUCAAAAGUAUUUGAGAAUCUAGUCAUUGGGUUUCCCAUCAGAUUAACAUCAAUGCUUGUGAAAUCUAAAAUACGGAUGGCAGUGCUUGGUGUCAUUUACCCUCCUGAAGGGAUGGUGGUUAUGCUCCAGUAGAGUGAAACUUGGGCACUUGCUGAAUUAUAGGCCAUUCCUGAGUGAUAUUUCUUACCCAGCUGCACUUUUUCCUCUGGCUCCAGCUAGAAAAGACAAACAGAAUGACAUCACCACCUGCUGGACUGUGAGGCAAGUUGACCUUUGAGAAGGCAUGAAAAUCUGAUUUUGUCUUUUCCUCUCUCUGAUCCACAAGUAUAGGUCAGCUUUAACUCAGAUGGCCAACACUUAUUGCCACACCUCUACUGUAUUGUCACUGUCAAUCAGAUCCAGGUCCUGCUACCUGGAAUUAUCUUUGCUGCCUAAUGUCCUACCAAUGUUUGCUCCAGUUGCACAACCUAAUUCUUGCCUACCUGGUGAGCUACAAAUGAAGAAUAGAUUUAGACUACAUAGCAUUGUUCCCACUGGUGAUCCUUUGCAUCUUGAGUGUGGUACCUAAUUACGGCUUCUGGGAUCUCUGUACCAUAGGAUCUUGAACUUCUUAAGCAGGUGAUAACAUCCCUGGGUAAACUGAAUGGCAUUUUCUAGGUCUUAGAAGAAUGACUUAUGCUCAAAUUGUCAAGAACAACAUGUAAGUAGGAACUUGGAUCAACCAGCAAGAAUUACUUGGAUGCCUAGGAACCUGAAUAUUGGCUUAUGGUAGAACAUGCAGUGACUAUGCGAUAUUUACUUUAACCAAUGUCAAAGCUCACAUAGUUCCAGGCUUUGGCCAUACCUGAGACCAAAGAAAAGCUGCCAAUCAGCAUCCUAUUAUGAAGAAAAUGCAGAAAGUUGAUGCCUUUAUGCAGAUUAUUUAUAGUUCAUCCAGAGUGGCCCAAAGCCUUUUCAUGUCUUUAUGACUAUGGAGUGAGGCAGAUGUACAGAAGCUGACUGGCAUUUCUGUGAGGGGUGAAGAUCUUAGAAGGGACGACAUAAUAUAGGAGACAUUCCUUGUGAUGAACCCCAGCAUCGCUUCUCAUCUCUGUAUGUGAUUAAACUCUAAAGGUGUUUGAAAUUACAAUCAUGGUGGGAAAGAUACUGUAUCAUUUAUAUGCAUAUCUAUCUAUCUAUAUGUCAUAUAUGCAAGAUAGGAGAGAACACCAUCAUAAGACAAAACAAUCGCUCUGUAAGAAGACUACCACCCAUUCAGGUAUCUAUGAGAUUAAAAGGGGAAGAUGUGGAGAAACUGCAGUGGCUAGUGGAUGCUUCUGUGCACAAUAAGAAUCUCAAGGAGACCAAGAAAAUACCGAAAGCCUACCAAUCAGUAGUGACUCAGCAAUUUAGAAGAUUGAAAUGGACAGGUGUAGAGAAUUAAAAUUACUGGUUCAUACUCACAUGAUGGGUAAGGUUUUCCGAAAUAACCAGUACAGAAAGGAGGUAUUCCUCAUUGAAGACCAUUAUCUGUUGUUCCUUUUGAAAUGAAAAUGGUUUGAUAUUUGUACACUGUUGGUACUGUGGUAUGUAAGCAUCUUGGCUAAGACCAAUUUAAGAGGUGAAAUACACCCAAGGAGUCAUCUUAGGCUGUCACAUGUUGGGUGAGGAUGGUCAGAGGAAAUCAGUCUAGCCAGGAGAUCUUCUCAGAGGCAGACUUUAGAAGCUGGGUAAGAAAAUCAGAAAAACAAAGUGGAGAGAGGUUGCUCCUCUUCAAGUCAGUAUCAUUGAUUUCUCUCAUUUAAAGGAUGAAAUAGAAACACAUAGCAGAAAUAUAAUGUAGAGAGGUCAUCAGAUAUCAGACAAAAACUAUAGAAGUACAUCUGCCACCCACCCCUUAGAACAGCCCUUCACCUACCGCUCCCUUUAUGUGACUCAGUAGGGAGAUCUAAUGCAGUUCCAAAUGCUGGUGGGCAACUAAGACGGGCAAGGAACACAGAGGGUCCUAACCUAAGACAGGCAACUUUCCUGGAGUUUUCUUUCUUUCUUUUAAAAUUUGUAUUGCUUUUUAAGAAAAAUUAAGUGUUGAGUAAAUUAGAAUAAUAAUUGUAAAAUAUGUGAGGCUUCAAAGAAAAACAGUAUGACCAAUAUCAAGUAUUAGUAAUAGGACCUUACCUUUACUUCGGAAGCCCCCAUGUGCUCCACCCUGAUCCCAAAAGUAAUCACCACCUUCAAUUUUGUGUUUAUUAACCCUUAGUUUUCUUUAUAGUUUUAUCAUGUUUAUCUCUUUAAACAAUAUUUUUUAGUUUUGCCAAUUUUUGAAUCUUACAUAAGUCAAAACAUUGAUUGUUUUUACUUGAUCAAAGUUAAGUUUGUAUUUAGCUGAAUGCAAAUCUUACGUGUGCAUACUACUUAGAAAAGAAACAUCUUUAUGUGGUAUCAUAUACAUAUCACACAAUUUACUUAUUUAAAAUGUACAAUUAGUGGUUUUUAGUAUAUUCACAAGGUUCUACAAUCAUCACCACUCCCUAAUUCCAGAACAUUUCCAUCACCCCCAAAAGAAACUGUACCCAUUAGCAGUCAUUCUCCAUUUCCCCGCAACUGUCUUCACUCCUAGCUCUAGAUAACCACAAAUCUACUUUCUGCCUCCAUAGAUUUGUUUAUUCUGGAUAUUUCUUACAAAUAGAAUCAAACAAUAUGUGGUCUUUUGUGACUGGCUUCUCUCACUUAACAUAAUGUUUUCAAGGUUAUUCAUGUUGUAGUAUAUAUUAGUACUUUGUUCCUUCUUUAUUGCUAAAAAAUAUUCCAUUGUCUGGAUAUACCAAAUUUUAAUUAUCCAUUUCUGGAUGGAUGGACAUUUGGAUUGGAUCCACUUCUUGACUAUUGAGAAUAUUGCUGCUGUGAAUAU